RNAcentral lists this ribosomal RNA (253 nucleotides) under uncultured bacterium. RNAcentral describes it as "partial 16S ribosomal RNA". It matches the Rfam family "Bacterial small subunit ribosomal RNA", at positions 524 to 776 of the family's 1533-position model. The record is from RNAcentral.
UACGUAGGGGGCAAGCGUUGUCCGGAUUUAUUGGGCGUAAAGAGCGUGUAGGCGGCCAGGCAGGUCCGUUGUGAAAACUCGAGGCUCAACCUCCAGACGUCGACGGAAACGGCGCGGCUAGAGUCCGGAAGAGGAGAGUGGAAUUCCUGGUGUAGCGGUGAAAUGCGCAGAUAUCAGGAAGAACACCAAUGGCGAAGGCAGCUCUCUGGGACGGUACUGACGCUGAGACGCGAAAGCGUGGGGAGCGAACAGG